AAAUUGAAGAGUUUGAUCAUGGCUCAGAUUGAACGCUGGCGGCAGGCCUAACACAUGCAAGUCGAACGGUAACAGGAAGCAGCUUGCUGCUUUGCUGACGAGUGGCGGACGGGUGAGUAAUGUCUGGGAAACUGCCUGAUGGAGGGGGAUAACUACUGGAAACGGUGGCUAAUACCGCAUAACGUCGCAAGACCAAAGAGGGGGACCUUCGGGCCUCUUACCAUCAGAUGUGCCCAGAUGGGAUUAGCUAGUUGGUGAGGUAACGGCUCACCAAGGCGACGAUCCCUAGCUGGUCUGAGAGGAUGACCAGCCACACUGGAACUGAGACACGGUCCAGACUCCUACGGGAGGCAGCAGUGGGGAAUAUUGCACAAUGGGCGCAAGCCUGAUGCAGCCAUGCCGCGUGUAUGAAGAAGGCCUUCGGGUUGUAAAGUACUUUCAGCGGGGAGGAAGGUGUUGUGGUUAAUAACCGCAGCAAUUGACGUUACCCGCAGAAGAAGCACCGGCUAACUCCGUGCCAGCAGCCGCGGUAAUACGGAGGGUGCAAGCGUUAAUCGGAAUUACUGGGCGUAAAGCGCACGCAGGCGGUCUGUCAAGUCGGAUGUGAAAUCCCCGGGCUCAACCUGGGAACUGCAUUCGAAACUGGCAGGCUUGAGUCUUGUAGAGGGGGGUAGAAUUCCAGGUGUAGCGGUGAAAUGCGUAGAGAUCUGGAGGAAUACCGGUGGCGAAGGCGGCCCCCUGGACAAAGACUGACGCUCAGGUGCGAAAGCGUGGGGAGCAAACAGGAUUAGAUACCCUGGUAGUCCACGCCGUAAACGAUGUCUACUUGGAGGUUGUGCCCUUGAGGCGUGGCUUCCGGAGCUAACGCGUUAAGUAGACCGCCUGGGGAGUACGGCCGCAAGGUUAAAACUCAAAUGAAUUGACGGGGGCCCGCACAAGCGGUGGAGCAUGUGGUUUAAUUCGAUGCAACGCGAAGAACCUUAC
This 984-nucleotide ribosomal RNA is filed under the name Salmonella enterica subsp. enterica serovar Saintpaul. Its description in RNAcentral is "bacterial SSU rRNA". It matches the Rfam family "Bacterial small subunit ribosomal RNA", at positions 1 to 974 of the family's 1533-position model. Lineage: Bacteria; Pseudomonadati; Pseudomonadota; Gammaproteobacteria; Enterobacterales; Enterobacteriaceae. The record is from RNAcentral.